Molecule: ribosomal RNA, 1440 nt
Filed under: uncultured organism
Description: SSU rRNA
Rfam family: Bacterial small subunit ribosomal RNA
Source: RNAcentral
AACGCUAGCUACAGGCUUAACACAUGCAAGUCGAGGGGCAGCAUGGUCUUAGCUUGCUAAGGCCGAUGGCGACCGGCGCACGGGUGAGUAACACGUAUCCAACCUGCCGUCUACUCUUGGACAGCCUUCUGAAAGGAAGAUUAAUACAAGAUGGCAUCAUGAGUCCGCAUGUUCACAUGAUUAAAGGUAUUCCGGUAGACGAUGGGGAUGCGUUCCAUUAGAUAGUAGGCGGGGUAACGGCCCACCUAGUCUUCGAUGGAUAGGGGUUCUGAGAGGAAGGUCCCCCACAUUGGAACUGAGACACGGUCCAAACUCCUACGGGAGGCAGCAGUGAGGAAUAUUGGUCAAUGGGCGAGAGCCUGAACCAGCCAAGUAGCGUGAAGGAUGACUGCCCUAUGGGUUGUAAACUUCUUUUAUAAAGGAAUAAAGUCGGGUAUGCAUACCCGUUUGCAUGUACUUUAUGAAUAAGGAUCGGCUAACUCCGUGCCAGCAGCCGCGGUAAUACGGAGGAUCCGAGCGUUAUCCGGAUUUAUUGGGUUUAAAGGGAGCGUAGAUGGAUGUUUAAGUCAGUUGUGAAAGUUUGCGGCUCAACCGUAAAAUUGCAGUUGAUACUGGAUAUCUUGAGUGCAGUUGAGGCAGGCGGAAUUCGUGGUGUAGCGGUGAAAUGCUUAGAUAUCACGAAGAACUCCGAUUGCGAAGGCAGCCUGCUAAGCUGCAACUGACAUUGAGGCUCGAAAGUGUGGGUAUCAAACAGGAUUAGAUACCCUGGUAGUCCACACGGUAAACGAUGAAUACUCGCUGUUUGCGAUAUACAGCAAGCGGCCAAGCGAAAGCGUUAAGUAUUCCACCUGGGGAGUACGCCGGCAACGGUGAAACUCAAAGGAAUUGACGGGGGCCCGCACAAGCGGAGGAACAUGUGGUUUAAUUCGAUGAUACGCGAGGAACCUUACCCGGGCUUAAAUUGCAGAUGAAUUACGGUGAAAGCCGUAAGCCGCAAGGCAUCUGUGAAGGUGCUGCAUGGUUGUCGUCAGCUCGUGCCGUGAGGUGUCGGCUUAAGUGCCAUAACGAGCGCAACCCUUGUUGUCAGUUACUAACAGGUUCCGCUGAGGACUCUGACAAGACUGCCAUCGUAAGAUGUGAGGAAGGUGGGGAUGACGUCAAAUCAGCACGGCCCUUACGUCCGGGGCUACACACGUGUUACAAUGGGGGGUACAGAGGGCCGCUACCACGCGAGUGGAUGCCAAUCCCAAAAACCUCUCUCAGUUCGGACUGGAGUCUGCAACCCGACUCCACGAAGCUGGAUUCGCUAGUAAUCGCGCAUCAGCCACGGCGCGGUGAAUACGUUCCCGGGCCUUGUACACACCGCCCGUCAAGCCAUGGGAGCCGGGGGUACCUGAAGUGCGUAACCGCGAGGAGCGCCCUAGGGUAAAACUGGUGACU